UAUCUUCUCUCUGUUUAUUUCUGGAUAUUAUAAAUCUUCUGCUUCCUAGGGGUCCAGAGAGGGAGGAAGGACACUUGUGCUCUUCUUGGUCCUAGUAGAUCACCACACGGCCAGAGUAACAGUGCUGGUGCCACUUAAACUCCCCAUAUCACAUGUGCUCCCCACCAGUGUCUGCGGUGAAGGAACGGGAGGUUAACUGAAAGAUCCAAUGGUUUCCCCCACCCCACCUCACCCCACCCCUGCAACAUGUUUUUCAUGCUAUGCUUUCCAUUUACAGGAGCGGCCUUUGCUAGGAGAGUGAAAAUAUUGGCAGAUGAACAGAUCUGGAGUUCCUUCCAGAAUGUCUGAUGAAUUCGUCUUCAAAAGAGGUGACGGUCUUAAGAUUUCCUUUGUUAUCCAUGGAGAUGGUUGACCCUACCGUAAAACAAGAGUCCUCAUUCAUCACACUACUUAAAAAACUAAAAAAGAGAAGAUGCUCUUCUAAGAGAAACAAAUCACAAUCUCGGUUGAGGUUCCCUACUGCCAAAACCCAAAGCCAAGCAUUCUUCUGAAAAAUCAAUAAACUGCCCAGCACCAUGCUUACCACAAGCAGGUAAUUUCAGUGCGUCUUUAGAACAAAACAAGAAGAGGAAGUCUAUUUUACUUAUUAGUUUGAACAAGAGACUUAUGUGAAUGAUUCUCCAUUAACAUAUAUUUGGGAAUCAUUCAUUUGAUAUUUAAUAUUCCACCAUGCCUAGGGUCACAUAAAAUAAACCGCUGCAUUUUUAUUUUUAAAACAUGUUGAGAAAAGGUACUUUUCUCAAAGAGCUUGAAAUUU
Neofelis nebulosa (Clouded leopard) is the source of this 817-nucleotide long non-coding RNA. RefSeq lists it as uncharacterized. Lineage: Eukaryota; Metazoa; Chordata; Mammalia; Carnivora; Felidae. The transcript is spliced from 3 exons. The record is from RefSeq and is a predicted model, not a curated record.